AUAAAUCAACAUGAAAAAAUUAUUAUUAUUUUUUUUAAAGAAAUGUGGUCUAAAGGCAGUACUCAGAGUGGACCAAGAGAAAGGAGGAACUUUAAAAAUCCACACCCUGGGUCCUCUGAUAAUCAAAGGUUGAUCAGAACAUAUUUAUUUUCAAAAAACGUGUGAGCUUUUCCUUACUGCUUAUCACACAGGCACGGACAUUUGAAGGACAGAAAGAUCUGCAUGAAGGGAUAUUUAACUACAGGGGGUUGUAGUAGAGGGCUAGGCUGGGAGCACAUAUUUCAUGGUUUGUAGGCAAAUUUCCUUGUGGCUCACCCACAGCUGAAAUUCUUUCAAGUCCUUGGCCCAUGAGCUAGCGCUAAUUUGCAUGGUAUUAUUUUUUCCAUCGGUUUAACAAACUGAGAGCAUGAUUGCCGAUCUUGGCCUGUUUUCCUCCUCAGCAUGAGCAGUGACCCGUGUGCGGGAGGAUGAUUUAUUGAGAUAUUAAUUUGUUUUUUUUUUUGUUCUUGCAGAAUUUCUCCCACCCCCGUUCUGAGAAGGUAGCUGGGCUUUUGCGUUUGUCUCCGAGGGUGUUUAUGAUCUAGGACCGAGCACGCACUUUGGACAGGCUACCCCACUCCUUCCUUCUCUGGCUUUUUUGACUUUUGGAUUUCUGGGAAGCCUAAACUCAGUGAGGGGAUACGCUUGACAGGGGAGUUUGACAGAGACCAGGAGGUGCCUACCGAAGCAGAGAGUAUUGGGGAGGUAUGCAGAUUCCCCGAGCUUAGGAAAGGUGGCUUUGGGGUCGUGUGUCUGGCCUGUUUCCUGGGGGUGACCCAGUGUGGUGGAAAAUGCCUGCAUAGCGUGCCUAGGAAGGUGCAUUUCAGGUACCAGAAACCCCCCUAGUUCUAUACUUGCACUUGAGAUCGUUCCAGACCCCACAGUUUCCCACCUGGACGAGGCUAGGUGAUGGGACGUGGAUUAGGGGGUCCUCCUCAAGUGUUCUACCACCGGAAAACCUUCAGGCCAUCCCCCCAACACUGAGGGGGUUUGGGGAAAGGAGAUCCCGUGAUGGCUUAGAUUCAAUUCCCAACCAACCCAAUAGGAGUUUCAUUUCAUUUGACUUUCUUUCAAGAAAAGUUUCAUUUCAUAUGAUUUUUUUUUUUUUUUUUUUUUUAGGAGAAGAAAUCAGGGUGCCUGGGUGGCCUAGUGGGUUUGACGUCCGACUUCGGCUCAGGUCAGGAUCUUGCGGUUCGUGGGUUCGAGCCCCGUCUGGGGCUCUGUGCUGAGAGCUCGGAGCCUGGAGCCCGCUUCGGAUUCUGUGUCUCCCCCUCUCUCUGCCCCUCCCCCACUCACGGUCUGUCUCUCUCUUCUCUCUCUCUCAAAUAAACUUUAAAAAAAGAAAAAGAAAUCCAUGUUACAUCUCCCUCACACCUGUGCUUGCGGAGUAAAAUCAGAUUUUGUUGGAGUAACAAUUUCAUCCGGAAAUCUCAGUGGGUUUAGCCCAACGAAGCCUUCUCUCUCACUCACGUGCCUACUUGUUUAAUGAAGGUCACAGCACGACUCAGGGACCCGGCUUUAGGGACACACCGAGAUCCCAGUGAGUGGCCUUCGAGGUCAUCACAGGGAGAAAAGAGAGGCACCAGCUGUUAAGGUCUUUGGCCAGGAAGUGACAUAGUCACCCCAACUCCCAUACCAUGGGCUAGAACCAGUCAUAGGGCCUCCGCCUGGCUGCAAGGGGGCUGGGACACAAGGGGAACACGUGGAUUUUGAUGCCUCUGCCGCAGUCUCACGGUACUUAGUUCACAUAGGAUGACUUUUUUUUUAACGCUAUCAACUUGCGUUUGUGUAGAGCUUAUUAACAAAUGCAUCCGGGGGGUUCUUUGCAUGGAUUAUAUCUAGUUCCCUCAAGCCCUGUGAAUACGUCAUCCCUCCCGUCUCCAGAAGAGGAAAUUAAGGAAACAGCACGGGAAAUGGAAAGGAGGGCCGAACAGCCAGGCCGUCUGACCUGAGCCUUUUCUGUUCUUCCACCAAAGCCUGAAAUCAGAAUGUGGGGGAGACAGCCUAUCAGUAACCGAUGUUCCCCCUGAUUAUAAAAGCAACAUUUCUUGGUGUAAAAAUCAAAAAACAGAGGGUGCGGAGAAAGCAAUGCUCCGUCAAGGGUUUAUUUAGAUUCCUGCCGGGGCCUCCGUAAAGACAGGGAGAGGUCAUGGGGGAGACCGCGAAACACGCUGAUCUGUUCACCAGCGGGAAAGCAGGGACGGUAUCGAGAUUUGAGUGAGAUUUUUGCAGAAUGGGCAGAUUUCACAACACAAACUCGUUUCUAUCCGGUUGAAAUACAAUCACUUCCUCCUCUCGGAGCUGGCUUCAUGCUGUGUUGCAACAGAUCUCUUAUUUUCGCGGGGGCCACCUGGAUUCCCAAGCCCAUCCUGACCUCAUGGGGUCACUGCUCUGGCUCAGCGGUUGAGUAAGACCUAGCCAGGGUGACAGGGGCUUCUGAGCUGGAGGGGACCCCAAGGAGAGGAGGCCUGAAUCGGAAGGGGCGUUUCAGGACCCAUUCCAGGCACAGGAACCGUGUGGACAGACCUCCGUUCUGAUGAGCAAAAAUCAGAGGAACCAGUGAUCCGAAAGGGGUCUACGAGUCGGAACAAUGAAAUUCCGUAUAAAAUCAGUGUUGCCGUCACGACUUCCUUAAAGGCACGGGGACCAGAUGACUUGUCCCGGGUCACACGGCUACAAAGUGGCAGGGCUGUGAUGAAACCCAAGCCUGGAAUCAGAAUGUGGAUAAGACAAGCCGGCAGGCCUGUGUGCCGGGAACUGGGCAGUGCGGCCCAUGGGGACAUGACUACACGUACUUGCUCUGGGACACAGUGCCGCUCAUGCUGGGGAGUGCAUGGAGUCACUGACGGGACUGUCUUCCAAGGUGGAGGACCCUGGUCCUUACUCACAAGGUGUCCUCUGAGCGGUAGGAUGUGAGGGAGGAGGACCCCGGGGAAUUGACGGGAACCCUAUGGUCUUCCUGGGCCACAGGCUAGCAUUCGCCCUGUAGACACGACUGAUGGGUCUCCGAGCACAGCUAACUAACUCUGGGGUGGGCAGGUGUUCACAGAAAUGCUCUGAGAAGCUCGUCACUCUAGGCCCCAUCUGUCCUAUUUUCCCUUGGACUUGUUUUUCUCAACUAUUUUACAUUUAUUUUAUUGUAUUGUAUUUUAAAAAUUUUUUCAUUAAAAAAUUUUUUUUAAUAUUUAUUGAUUUUUGAGAGAGGGAGAGAGAGAGAGAGGGCAAGUCGGGGAGGGGCAGAGAGAGAGGGGGCAGAGGGUCCAAAGCCGGUUCAGCUGUCAGCAUGGAGCCUGAUGUGGAGCUUGAACUCAUGAACCACGAGUUCAUGGCCUGAGCCAAGGUCAGACGCUUAACCGACUGAGCCACCCAGGUGUCCCUACAUUUAUUUUAGGAGAUAGAUCAUAACGAUGUUUAUGAUCUAUCUCAUCAUAAAAUAAUGGGACAGUUACAAUGGUAACUGACGGCCUUUCUAUUCAUAACGGUACGGGGGGCAGGGUGCUCUCCCCAAACACCUAACGUCCAGGACCUAAAUCCCUGGAACCGGGGAAUGUGACCUUGUUUGGAAAUGGCAUCUGUGCAGAUGUAACACAGUUCAGGAUUUUGAGAAGAGAUGGUCUUGUAUUAUUCAGGUGAGCCCCAGAUGCAGUGACACGUGGCCUUCGAAGAGAGACACAUGGGCGGAAGAGGAGGUGAUGUGACUGUGGAGGCAGAGCUUGGGGUGAUGCGGCCCCGAGUCCAAGAAUGCUGGCAGCUAUUCUUGUAGCAAAGGACUUGUGCCCCCCCCCCCUCCGCCUCCCCAGAGCCUCUGACACCUUGGUUUCAGAUUCAGCCUCCAGAAGUGUGCAAGGAAACAUUCGUCACUGCAGCCCUAGGAAACCAAUGCAGUGACGGAAUUCCCUUCUCAGAACUUGCUCAGGAAAUGCGAAGACCCAAUGGCUCAAAGACGUGGCUGCCAGCUUCUGAGACGCGGGGCGUUAUCUCAGGCUCGCAGGUGUUGCCAAACAUCUCGUAAAGUAUCUCUGCCAAGGGGUCCAGGCCACGGAGCAA
Molecule: long non-coding RNA, 4086 nt
Organism: Acinonyx jubatus (cheetah)
Lineage: Eukaryota; Metazoa; Chordata; Mammalia; Carnivora; Felidae
Exons: 3
Source: RefSeq, a predicted model, not a curated record